CCCUAUCAUUGGUUGUUAGCUGUCUAUAAUAUUUCCCUCUUGUCUCUUUCUUAAAAUGAAUUAAUUGUACAUCCAACAGAAUUAAAAAGAUGCUCCUUUAUUUUUUCAUCUGAUGAAGGAUUAUGUAAUAGUAUACAAAGUAAAUAUCAAAACAAUUACAUAAAAUGUGGUUUUCAUUUCACAGAAAUGAAAGGAAAGGGGUUGUUUUGGAUUUUGUUAAUAUUUAAAAA
RNAcentral lists this long non-coding RNA (230 nucleotides) under Mytilus galloprovincialis (Mediterranean mussel). The record is from RNAcentral. Lineage: Eukaryota; Metazoa; Mollusca; Bivalvia; Mytilida; Mytilidae.